RNAcentral lists this ribosomal RNA (443 nucleotides) under uncultured bacterium. RNAcentral describes it as "partial 16S ribosomal RNA". It matches the Rfam family "Bacterial small subunit ribosomal RNA", at positions 338 to 795 of the family's 1533-position model. The record is from RNAcentral.
CCUACGGGGGGCUGCAGUGGGGAAUAUUGGGCAAUGGAGGAAACUCUGACCCAGCAACGCCGCGUGAAUGAUGAAGGUCUUCUGAUUGUAAAGUUCUUUUCUGAGGGAAGAAGAAAGUGACGGUACCUUAGGAAUAAGCCUCGGCUAAAUACGGGCCAGCAGCCGCGGGAAUACGUAGGAGGCGAGCGUUAUCCGGAAUGACUGGGCGUAAAGGGUGAGUAGGUGGUUUGGGAAGGUAGUAGCGUAACUCUAGGGCUCAAACUUGGAACGACUACUAAACCGGUUGGACUUGAGUGCAGGAGGGGCAACCGGAAUUCCUAGUGUAGCGGUGGAAUGCGUAGAUAUUAGGAGGAACACCAGUGGCGAAGGCGGGUUGCUAGACUGUAACUGACACUGAGGCACGAAAGCGUGGGGAGCAAACAGGAUGAGAUACCCGUGUAGUC